RNAcentral lists this ribosomal RNA (912 nucleotides) under uncultured bacterium. Its description in RNAcentral is "bacterial SSU rRNA". It matches the Rfam family "Bacterial small subunit ribosomal RNA", at positions 8 to 879 of the family's 1533-position model. The record is from RNAcentral.
AGAGUUUGAUCCUGGCUCAGGACGAACGCUGGCGGCGUGCCUAAUACAUGCAAGUCGAGCGAGCUUGCCUAGAUGAUUUUAGUGCUUGCACUAAAUGAAACUAGAUACAAGCGAGCGGCGGACGGGUGAGUAACACGUGGGUAACCUGCCCAAGAGACUGGGAUAGCACCUGGAAACAGAUGCUAAUACCGGAUAACAACACUAGACGCAUGUCUAGAGUUUGAAAGAUGGUUCUGCUAUCACUCUUGGAUGGACCUGCGGUGCAUUAGCUAGUUGGUAAGGUAACGGCUUACCAAGGCAAUGAUGCAUAGCCGAGUUGAGAGACUGAUCGGCCACAUUGGGACUGAGACACGGCCCAAACUCCUACGGGAGGCAGCAGUAGGGAAUCUUCCACAAUGGACGAAAGUCUGAUGGAGCAACGCCACGUGAGUGAAGAAGGGUUUCGGCUCGUAAAGCUCUGUUGGUAGUGAAGAAAGAUAGAGGUAGUAACUGGCCUUUAUUUGACGGUAAUUACUUAGAAAGUCACGGCUAACUACGUGCCAGCAGCCGCGGUAAUACGUAGGUGGCAAGCGUUGUCCGGAUUUAUUGGGCGUAAAGCGAGUGCAGGCGGUUCAAUAAGUCUGAUGUGAAAGCCUUCGGCUCAACCGGAGAAUUGCAUCAGAAACUGUUGAACUUGAGUGCAGAAGAGGAGAGUGGAACUCCAUGUGUAGCGGUGGAAUGCGUAGAUAUAUGGAAGAACACCAGUGGCGAAGGCGACUCUCUGGUCCGCAACUGACGCUGAGGCUCGAAAGCAUGGGUAGCGAACAGGAUUAGAUACCCUGGUAGUCCAUGCCGUAAACGAUGAGUGCUAAGUGUUGGGAGGUUUCCGCCUCUCAGUGCUGCAGCUCACGCAUUAAGCACUCCGCCUGGGGA